UACGAGUGCCCCAAGCGUUAUCCGGAAUUAUUGGGCGUAAAGGGUGUGUAGGUGGUUGUAUUAGUCUUGUGUUAAAUUCUUCGGCUUAACCGGGGCAUGGCAUAGGAAACGGUACAACUAGAGGAUGCGAGAGGUGAAUGGAACUCAUGGAGUAGGGGUGAAAUCCGUUGAUAUCAUGGGGAACACCAAAUGCGAAGGCAAUUCACUGGCGCACUCCUGACACUGAGACACGAAAGCGUAGGUAGCGAAUGGG
This 253-nucleotide ribosomal RNA is filed under the name uncultured bacterium. RNAcentral describes it as "partial 16S ribosomal RNA". It matches the Rfam family "Bacterial small subunit ribosomal RNA", at positions 524 to 776 of the family's 1533-position model. The record is from RNAcentral.